RNAcentral lists this ribosomal RNA (255 nucleotides) under uncultured bacterium. RNAcentral's name for it is "partial 16S ribosomal RNA". It matches the Rfam family "Bacterial small subunit ribosomal RNA", at positions 524 to 776 of the family's 1533-position model. The record is from RNAcentral.
UACGAAGGGUGCAAGCGUUACUCGGAAUUACUGGGCGUAAAGCGUGCGUAGGUGGUGAGUUAAGUCUGUCGUGAAAGCCCCGGGCUCAACCUGGGAAUGGCGAUGGAUACUGGCUCGCUAGAGUGCGGUAGAGGAGAGUGGAAUUCCUGGUGUAGCGGUGAAAUGCGCAGAUAUCAGGAGGAACACCGGUGGGCGAAGGCGGGUCUCUGGGCCGAUACUGACGCUGGAGGAGCGAAAGCGUGGGGAGCAAACAGG